CCAGAUUCAUCUCCAAAAAUGGAACUCGUCGGAGGAUCCGAACCACAUGGGCUGGAGAGCCGGCUCCAGGCCUCGAGCCCUGACUGACCACAGGGCCCAGGGCAAUCACUGCCUGCCCAAGGCUGGCGCUGCUUGGCUGUGAGGCUGGUGUCUGCAAGCUGCCUGCCUUCUUCAUGAUACUUUCGGUGAAGAUACCCAGACCGCCCUACUCAAGGUGUGACCUGUGAACUCUCUGCCUGGGAAUCUGAAUCCUGAGCAGAGUGAUGCUGAGACAGAAAACAGUGGGUGCAGAUCCAUUCCAACGAGCUUUCUGAGGACGCUGUCCCCCGAUUCCUCCUACCGAGAUCCCCGGAACUGCUCUGGGAUCCUCCUUCCCAGGGCUCCUCAGCAGCUUUCCCUUCGAUUCUAAUUCUGCAUAUCUCGGUGAUCUAAGACUUCAAGUAUUUCCAGUGGAGAAUUGAAGAGAGAGGUCAACUCCUGCCAAGCUCCGACUGCUACAGGCCUCUGCUUCCCUUCAUGACUUACUCAACCUUGCUAACUGGAUGACUGGCUGCCAAACAAAAUCACAGGAGGAAAAAAAGAAAAGGCAUCUCAUCUUUCUCUCGUAAGCCUUUGCUCUCUUCAACUUCCUCGUCGUCGUAGUGAGUGUUCAAGUUCUCCAGUUUCCCCAGGCGGGCUCAGGGCUAAAAAUAGCCCAUCAUGUGUGGUAGCACCGGUGGCAUUUCCUGGGGUAUGAGAGUCCCAGUAAGAACAACUGGUGAGAUGAGAUGACCAAAUUCUGCGAGUGUGGGGACACCCUACACUUCUCCCCCGCACCCACUGCUAAGAUGCUCAGACUUCUGCAGGAAUAUGUUCAUAGUCACUCUUGGACUUUUGAUGAGAUCAAAAGGAACUGGCGUGUUUCCUCUUCUCAGAUGUGAGUAGCAUAACUUAUCAUUGUUUCAAGGGCAUAAAACAAGUGUAAUCAUUGAGGGUGAAAUAUAAUUCAGGCCUGUCAACCAUACCAUUGUUCCAACUAAGUAGAGAAAUUCGAUGAGGAAUAAAUGCUAAUUGAACUGCUAAUGUUUAACAAACAUAAUUAAACUUAUUGCAAAUUGUUGGAGGAAAAUUUUUUCUCAUACAUGCAUAAUAUUUUGGGGACCAUUUUUAAAGGAAGAUUACAUUAAAAAAAAAUAAAGAGACUCCCU
Long non-coding RNA from Equus asinus (donkey), 1187 nucleotides. NCBI's taxonomy places the organism in Eukaryota, Metazoa, Chordata, Mammalia, Perissodactyla, Equidae. The record is from Ensembl.